This 230-nucleotide ribosomal RNA is filed under the name Devosia sp. ISOM144_OTU266. RNAcentral's name for it is "partial 16S ribosomal RNA". It matches the Rfam family "Bacterial small subunit ribosomal RNA", at positions 29 to 289 of the family's 1533-position model. Lineage: Bacteria; Pseudomonadati; Pseudomonadota; Alphaproteobacteria; Hyphomicrobiales; Devosiaceae. The record is from RNAcentral.
ACGAACGCUGGCGGCAGGCUUAACACAUGCAAGUCGAACGCCCCGCAAGGGGAGUGGCAGACGGGUGAGUAACGCGUGGGAAUCUACCUAGUUCUACGGAACAACUGAUGGAAACGUCAGCUAAUACCGUAUACGCCCUAAGGGGGAAAGAUUUAUCGGAAUUAGAUGAGCCCGCGUAAGAUUAGCUAGUUGGUGGGGUAAUGGCCUACCAAGGCGACGAUCUUUAGCUG